AUCGCUUCUCGGCCUUUUGGCUAAGAUCAAGUGUAGUAAAGGUAAUACAUUUACAUACUUAAAAAAUAGUUAUACAGCAAAUAGUUCUGCUACCCAUU
This is a small nuclear RNA of Oryctolagus cuniculus (rabbit), 98 nucleotides long. Its record names the gene U2. It matches the Rfam family "U2 spliceosomal RNA". From Rfam's summary of the family: U2 is a small nuclear RNA (snRNA) component of the spliceosome (involved in pre-mRNA splicing). Complementary binding between U2 snRNA (in an area lying towards the 5' end but 3' to hairpin I) and the branchpoint sequence (BPS) of the intron results the bulging out of an unpaired adenosine, on the BPS, which initiates a nucleophilic attack at the intronic 5' splice site, thus starting the first of two transesterification reactions that mediate splicing. NCBI's taxonomy places the organism in Eukaryota, Metazoa, Chordata, Mammalia, Lagomorpha, Leporidae. The record is from Ensembl.